AUUGAACGCUGGCGGCAGGCCUAACACAUGCAAGUCGAACGAGUGGCGGACGGGUGAGUAAUGUCUGGGAAACUGCCCGAUGGCGGGGGAUAAAUACUGGAAACGGUAGCUAAUACCGCAUACCAUCGGAUGUGCCCAGAUGGGAUUAGCUAGUAGGUGGGGUAACGGCUCACCUAGGCGAAGAUCCCUAGCUGGUCGGAGAGGAUGACCAGCCACACUGGAAUUGAGACACGGUCCAGACUCCUACGGGAGGCAGCAGUGGGUAAUAUUGCAAAAUGGGCGCAAGCCUGAUGCAGCCAUGCCGCGUGUAUGAAGAAGGCCUUCGGGUUGUAAAGUACUUUCAGCUGGGAGGCGUUACCCGCAGAAGAAGCACCGGCUAACUCCGUGCCAGCAGCCGCGGUAAUAC
Molecule: ribosomal RNA, 406 nt
Filed under: uncultured bacterium
Lineage: Bacteria
Description: partial 16S ribosomal RNA
Rfam family: Bacterial small subunit ribosomal RNA
Source: RNAcentral